Molecule: long non-coding RNA, 1346 nt
Filed under: Meriones unguiculatus (Mongolian gerbil)
Lineage: Eukaryota; Metazoa; Chordata; Mammalia; Rodentia; Muridae
Description: lncRNA (ENSMUGG00000001128.1)
Source: RNAcentral
CGCGGCCGAGGGGACGCUGCGGACCCCCGGCCCCGCCGGAACUACAUUUCCCGUGAGUCCCCGGGGCUCCGCUGCGGCGUGGGGGACGCCCGGGGGCGUGGCCUGGCUGCUGCGGACCCCCGGCCUUGCAGGAACUACAUUUCCCACGAGGCCCCGGGGGCUCCGCUGCGGCGCGGGGGCCGCCGGGGGACGUGGCAUGGCUGCUGCGGUCCCUCCGGCUUCAGGAGCGCCGGGAACUACAUUUCCCGUGAGGCCCCGGGAGGGGACGCGCGGGGGCGGGGCCGGGGGCGUCCCACGUCGGCUCUGGGGCCGCGGCGGCCAUGUUGGGCUGAGGCGAUGACAGGAGGCGGCCGGGACGCGACGCACUGAGGCGAGGGGAGACCCGGGGCUCCUGCGACGGGGAGACCUCCACCCCCGCCCCGGGGGACGCCGCGGGGCGCAGCCUCCGCCCCUCCCGGCUCCGCUCGGCGGCUCGGCGCCCACCCACAGGGCUCGGCUGGGCUCGGAAGCUCCGCUCGGCUGCGUUCGACCCCGCUCGGCCCCCAUCUACGCGGCUCGGCGACGCUCGGCUCGGCCCGGAAGCUCGGCUCAGCGGCGCUCGGCUCCCACCUACGCGGCUCGGCCCCCCUCGGCCCCGCUCGUCCCGGCUCGUCCCGGCUCGUUCCCCCGCCCGUCCCCGCUCGGCUCCGCUCGGUCCCCUCGGCCCUGCUCGGCCCCGCUCGUUCCUGCUCGUCCCUAGCUCGUCCCCGCUCGGUCCCCUCGGCCCCGCUCGUCCCCUAGCUCGUCCCCGCUCGUCCCCGCUCGUCCUUGCUCGUCCGUACUCGGCUCCCUCGGCCCCUAGCUCGUCCCUCCUCGGCCCCAGCUCGGCCCCGCUCGUCCCCCUUCGUCCCGCCUCGGUCCCCUCUGCCCUUAGCUCGUCCGUGCUCGUCCCCGCUCGUUCCUGCUCGUCUCCCCUCGGCCUCCGUCGGCCCCUAUCUCGUCCCCGCUCGUUCCUGCUCGUCUCCUCCCGGUCCCCUCGGUCCCUAGCUCGGCCCGGCUCGUCCCCCCUCGGCCCCAGCUCGUCCCCCUUCGUCCCGGCUCGGCCCCGCUCGGCCCCCCGAUGCGCGUCCGCCUCGCCGUCGGCCCGGGCGGCCCCCGCGGACGUGAGUCACCGGCCCCGGCGGCGGGGAGGGGCCGCGGCGGCCGCGCUUAAGGCCGCGCCCCAUGUCCGCCCGCCAGUGCGCAGCGCGCUGAGCCCGCGGCCGCCAUGACCUCCGCGCCCGGCCCCGCCGGCAUGGUGAGGAGGACUCGGGGGAGGACGGGGAGCGGGGGGAGGAUGGAGAGAGGGGAGGACGGGGAGCGGGAGG